Long non-coding RNA from Salvia splendens (bonfire salvia), 1213 nucleotides. RefSeq lists it as uncharacterized. The transcript is spliced from 3 exons. NCBI's taxonomy places the organism in Eukaryota, Viridiplantae, Streptophyta, Magnoliopsida, Lamiales, Lamiaceae. The record is from RefSeq and is a predicted model, not a curated record.
GCUGCGGAUGCUCUAACUGUCACUCUCUUUUUUCAUUUUCAAUUGUACUUUUCUUGGCGGGAAAUACAAAGCGGUGUUUCAAACAGAAUAACUGAGGCUCUCCUGCAAGCUUGAUGGUUCCAAAUUCCAUCUCGUAAAUUUCUCUGGAUCCCUGUCUCAUUUGUGUAUAUGAUUACCUAAUUGCGUUUGUGUAUGUAAAGUGUUUGUGAUAAUGUCUCUUUCAUGCGGUAGUUGAGAAUUCUGGAGUAUUUUUGGUUGCAUUUUGUUGUUUCGAUCUGCUUUUCACACCGUUUAUUGUACGCGCAACUUAUUUGCUUCGAAAUGACGGUGCUGAGGUAUACAUAUUUCGUAUACUUGCAAGCAAACCGGAGCUGUGACGCUGCUGAAAACCUCUGAAUUCGUGAAUUUAUCAUCGGAGGGUGCGUGUACUCCGAAGCUGGAUGUUGUCGAUCCGGAACAAGGAAUCGGAAGAGAUGUGGUUCUGAUGUGAAAUUGGGGAUUGAGACUUGAGAGUUCAGAUUGGAAUCCUGAUGUGAGUAUAGUUUCGGAAGUUUCACCGAAUUUGGAUGAUGGAGGUUUCACGGGACUGUUGGAAAUUAAGCAUGGAUAUGAAAGCUUUGGGGUCUGUGUCAUCUGAAAAGGAUAAGACGGAGAGGCUUAUUGCGCCUCGAGGUCAGGCAAGAGUGUUCCAUACAGAGAAAUAAACGACAUUCAUAUUGCUGGUGAUUCAGCUUGGUAAAGAAGGUGGUGCAGAUUGUGGUGGUGAUGUACCUGUGAAGAGUAUAUCAGAGAUUCAGAGGCUAAAACUGAUAACAAUGACUAGAUGGAAACUUCAUGUAGAGAAUGCGAAAUUGGAGUCCGAAGCAUCCCCUUUGAGGCACGAGAUCUGUUGGUUUGUUUGUAUAAUGAAAACAUGGAUGGUCACUUUCUUGAAUUGAGAUUCACGUAAGAGAUUGUUCGUGGUUAUCUGAGGAGCUAUUUGCCAAGAGUUUUGGAGGUUGCAACACUAACAAUGAUGAAGCUGCAUAUCAAUCGAGCAUCUCUCAAGUGCUCGUCGCUUAGUAAUAUACCCAGAUAUUGGCUUUUCUGAUUUGAGUCAUAUAAAGCCUGGAAAAGUAGAUAGUAUUGGAGCUUUGGCUAACACUCCCAACUUACAGACUUAAGCGGUAAAAUACGAAAACAAAAAAACAAAGGUGACGUAAGUUCCUCUCUC